Molecule: long non-coding RNA, 261 nt
Organism: Acomys russatus (golden spiny mouse)
Lineage: Eukaryota; Metazoa; Chordata; Mammalia; Rodentia; Muridae
Exons: 3
Source: RefSeq, a predicted model, not a curated record
CUACCUCCCAAGCACUGGGCUCAAAGGUGUGCGCCACCACCACUGCCCGGCUUCUUCUGUUUCUUUCUAAUAAACUCCAACUCUGCUUCAAACAGGUUAGCUCUAAAGUUAUUUCUGUGAUAUGGCCAGGGAUCUGGUUUUGCCUAAGGUCAGGUCUCUGCAGACCUCAGGCCAAGAUCUGGUUUUGUCUAAGGUCAGGUCUCUGCAGAUCUCAGGCCAAGAUCUGGUUUUGUCUAAGGUCAGGUCUCUGCAGACCUCAGG